Molecule: long non-coding RNA, 207 nt
Filed under: Lathyrus oleraceus (garden pea)
Lineage: Eukaryota; Viridiplantae; Streptophyta; Magnoliopsida; Fabales; Fabaceae
Description: Pisum sativum (pea) long non-coding RNA (PSAT_LNC028185)
Source: RNAcentral
AACUAGAAACAUUGGCCUUAUGCCAUUGCAUUUUUAAACUUCUUUUCUUAAUCAAACUUAUAAAUAGACUUAAUUAUAUUUGACCUAAACUUUCAAAAAGCCAAAAAGAACUAACUCAUUCAAACCAUUUUUAGGCCUUUGUGCCUUUCAAACUUAAUUUUUGUUAAAAGCAAUGCAUCCACUUUGAAAUUUAUACCAUGAACUACG